GGGUUGGUAUUUAAUUCUAUAGUGUUUUCAUAAAAGGCUGUGUCCAUAAACUAAUUUCCUUAAAUUAAGAUCCUUUCUCUGUCCAACAGCACAGCAUCAGGAGUGUUUGGGAUGUUACAAAACGCAUCAUCAGAGCUGCUAAACCAGUCUGGUAUUAUGCUUAAGUGUAGUGAGCACCAUGAUCCUCAUCAGAGUUUUGGAGUCUUUGGUUGGCUGAGGAAAUUGAUGGCAUGAGAGCACACAAAGUGUUCGCAGGUAACAGCUAUGCUACUGUGACGUGGAUCCCGCCUGCAUCACAAAACCCUAUGGAUCACCUGCCAGAUUAUGCGGCUACUCUUGAAGGGAUCAUUCUUCCUUUGUGGGAACCUGGACACUGGACAAUAUGUAAGUAAAUGUAGUUUUGCCCGUACAGUCUUUUUAUUGAAAUAAAUGUACACAUUGUCAGA
This is a long non-coding RNA of Alosa sapidissima (American shad), 446 nucleotides long. RefSeq lists it as uncharacterized. The record is from RefSeq and is a predicted model, not a curated record. Lineage: Eukaryota; Metazoa; Chordata; Actinopteri; Clupeiformes; Clupeidae. The transcript is spliced from 3 exons.